AUCUCUUUCCCCUUAUUCUAGUCAAGUCUAUGGAUGACCACAUCACUGCUAGCUUCAAGAUUGUAGUCGACUCUUUCCGAGCCUUUGUCUCCGUCCAUCGGCAUUUGGGGUUUUCUCUACAGUUUCUUCCAAAUUUCUUGGUGAAUCAGGCUAUUUCUGAGUCAAAUCUUGGACUGGAGUCGACCUUGUUUUGAAUCGCAUUCGAUUUCUUAUGGCCAGACGAGAUAUUUCCACCCCUCAAGCAACCUACAUUAGAGAAUUUGUUCUUUUUAAUGUGAGUUAGUUCUUUUUGUACAUCGAUUACUAGAUUAAAUACUCUUUAUGAAUGCCCAUAUUGUGAUAUUUUUAUAUUGUUCAUGCUUAACAUGUCUUUGAAAGAUACUUAUCUAAACUCUAUAUACAUAGUUUCUGCUUUCUAAUUGAAACUUAUUAUCAUAUUCUUUCAGUGAAUUGGAAAAACAAAUCAUUUCUAUAUUGUAAUUUGUAUAGAGGUUGCAUCUUUUUACAUUUUCUUUUACCUUUUUAAAGGUUUGGUAUAUCUCUUUUCAAUUCUUGAUUCUCACUUAAAUCUAUCUUUGAUAUUGGGAUGUUUGGAAUCGAACUAAAUUUGAUCCUUUUAUUCCUUUGUUAUUGUUUUUCUUUUAUGAAGAAAAGAUUAAGGCAUGCUCAUUUUGAAUUUUGUGAGAGAUACCUAAUUGAUUCAUCUAUGAAGAAAACAUUUAUGUCCCUU
Molecule: long non-coding RNA, 730 nt
Organism: Benincasa hispida (wax gourd)
Lineage: Eukaryota; Viridiplantae; Streptophyta; Magnoliopsida; Cucurbitales; Cucurbitaceae
Source: RefSeq, a predicted model, not a curated record